AGCUUGCUCUUCUUGGAUGAGUUGCGAACGGGUGAGUAACGCGUAGGUAACCUGCCUUGUAGCGGGGGAUAACUAUUGGAAACGAUAGCUAAUACCGCAUAACAAUGGAUGACACAUGUCAUUUAUUUGAAAGGGGCAAUUGCUCCACUACAAGAUGGACCUGCGUUGUAUUAGCUAGUAGGUGAGGUAAUGGCUCACCUAGGCGACGAUACAUAGCCGACCUGAGAGGGUGAUCGGCCACACUGGGACUGAGACACGGCCCAGACUCCUACGGGAGGCAGCAGUAGGGAAUCUUCGGCAAUGGGGGCAACCCUGACCGAGCAACGCCGCGUGAGUGAAGAAGGUUUUCGGAUCGUAAAGCUCUGUUGUAAGUCAAGAACGGGUGUGAGAGUGGAAAGUUCACACUGUGACGGUAGCUUACCAGAAAGGGACGGCUAACUACGUGCCAGCAGCCGCGGUAAUACGUAGGUCCCGAGCGUUGUCCGGAUUUAUUGGGCGUAAAGCGAGCGCAGGCGGUUUGAUAAGUCUGAAGUUAAAGGCUGUGGCUCAACCAUAGUUCGCUUUGGAAACUGUCAAACUUGAGUGCAGAAGGGGAGAGUGGAAUUCCAUGUGUAGCGGUGAAAUGCGUAGAUAUAUGGAGGAACACCGGUGGCGAAAGCGGCUCUCUGGUCUGUAACUGACGCUGAGGCUCGAAAGCGUGGGGAGCGAACAGGAUUAGAUACCCUGGUAGUCCACGCCGUAAACGAUGAGUGCUAGGUGUUGGAUCCUUUCCGGGAUUCAGUGCCGCAGCUAACGCAUUAAGCACUCCGCCUGGGGAGUACGACCGCAAGGUUGAAACUCAAAGGAAUUGACGGGGGCCCGCACAAGCGGUGGAGCAUGUGGUUUAAUUCGAAGCAACGCGAAGAACCUUACCAGGUCUUGACAUCCCGAUGCUAUUUCUAGAGAUAGAAAGUUACUUCGGUACAUCGGUGACAGGUGGUGCAUGGUUGUCGUCAGCUCGUGUCGUGAGAUGUUGGGUUAAGUCCCGCAACGAGCGCAACCCCUAUUGUUAGUUGCCAUCAUUCAGUUGGGCACUCUAGCGAGACUGCCGGUAAUAAACCGGAGGAAGGUGGGGAUGACGUCAAAUCAUCAUGCCCCUUAUGACCUGGGCUACACACGUGCUACAAUGGUUGGUACAACGAGUUGCGAGUCGGUGACGGCGAGCUAAUCUCUUAAAGCCAAUCUCAGUUCGGAUUGUAGGCUGCAACUCGCCUACAUGAAGUCGGAAUCGCUAGUAAUCGCGGAUCAGCACGCCGCGGUGAAUACGUUCCCGGGCCUUGUACACACCGCCCGUCACACCACGAGAGUUUGUAACACCCGAAGUCGGUGAGGUAACC
This 1376-nucleotide ribosomal RNA is filed under the name Streptococcus thermophilus. RNAcentral's name for it is "bacterial SSU rRNA". It matches the Rfam family "Bacterial small subunit ribosomal RNA", at positions 77 to 1440 of the family's 1533-position model. The record is from RNAcentral. Lineage: Bacteria; Bacillati; Bacillota; Bacilli; Lactobacillales; Streptococcaceae.